RNAcentral lists this ribosomal RNA (601 nucleotides) under Helotiales sp. CWG-F1-E3. RNAcentral describes it as "eukaryotic LSU rRNA". The stretch from base 252 to 405 matches the Rfam family "5.8S ribosomal RNA". Lineage: Eukaryota; Fungi; Ascomycota; Leotiomycetes; Helotiales. The record is from RNAcentral.
CUGCGGAGGAUCAUUACUAGAGCAAAGGAUAGACAGCGCCCGCGGAGCUUGCUCCCUGGGGCUACCCUACUUCGGUAGGGUUUAGAGUCGUCGGGCCUCUCGAAGAAGCUCGGUCCUGAACUCCACCCUUGAAUAAAUUACCUUUGUUGCUUUGGCGGGCCGCCUCGUGCCAGCGGCUUCGGCUGUUGCGUGCCCGCCAGAGGACCACAACUCUUGUUUUUAGUGAUGUCUGAGUACUAUUUAAUAGUUAAAACUUUCAACAACGGAUCUCUUGGUUCUGGCAUCGAUGAAGAACGCAGCGAAAUGCGAUAAGUAAUGUGAAUUGCAGAAUUCAGUGAAUCAUCGAAUCUUUGAACGCACAUUGCGCCCUCUGGUAUUCCGGGGGGCAUGCCUGUUCGAGCGUCAUUAUAACCACUCAAGCUCUCGCUUGGUAUUGGGGUUCGCGGUCUCGCGGCCCCUAAAAUCAGUGGCGGUGCCUGUCGGCUCUACGCGUAGUAAUACUCCUCGCGAUUGAGUCCGGUAGGUUUACUUGCCAGCAACCCCUAAUUUUUACAGGUUGACCUCGGAUCAGGUAGGGAUACCCGCUGAACUUAAGCAUAUC